GCAUGGAAAAAUCCAUCUGGUUAAACUCUGGUGCAGGCAAUCAGUUGCUGCCUAUGGCUGUGCUGGAGCAGGAACUCAUCCAUGGAAGUCUAGAAGAAGCCCUGGAUGCAUCUAGACCUGAAAGAUCAACUGUCUUGCAUGCAAAAUGGAAAGGAAGAUGAAAGAUACUCAUCCUGAGCAUCAUUCCCUUCCUCAGCUUUACCAUGAAGCAACAGUAGGUUGGUGGCCUGGGAUCCUGCCUCUAACUUCCAUCUCCAAGUUUCACUUAAAAAGGAUAUUUCUAUAUAGUGUGUGCGUAUUUGCUUUGGGAGAAAAAUGUCUAAACUUGAUGUUAGCUGUGAAAAGAAGGUAAUGAAAAUAUAACAUGGCUUUGUGUACCACUGGAAAUCCUUGUAAUGUUUGGACCAACAUGGUGACUGUGAUGUAAGGGAGAAGAAAAACUAUAGGACUUGGAAAUGAAAGGCCAGUUCUCAAUUUAGAUGAGAUCUUUGAGGGCAGUACAGCAAUGUAACACCCUGGCCGUCACAUGUGUAUUCCUCUCCCCAUUUGGUGAAAGAUACCACCUACUCUGCCUAUCUUUGUAAAACCUGUUAUUGCUGCUACUACUGUUACCUCUUGUCACUGCUUGUCUGCCCUCUCUGCUCCA
Molecule: long non-coding RNA, 646 nt
Organism: Varanus komodoensis (Komodo dragon)
Lineage: Eukaryota; Metazoa; Chordata; Lepidosauria; Squamata; Varanidae
Exons: 3
Source: RefSeq, a predicted model, not a curated record